RNAcentral lists this ribosomal RNA (466 nucleotides) under uncultured bacterium. Its description in RNAcentral is "partial 16S ribosomal RNA". It matches the Rfam family "Bacterial small subunit ribosomal RNA", at positions 28 to 505 of the family's 1533-position model. The record is from RNAcentral.
GACGAACGCUGGCGGCGUGCUUAACACAUGCAAGUCGAACGGAAAGGCUCCAGCUUGCUGGAGUACUCGAGUGGCGAACGGGUGAGUAACACGUGGGUGAUCUGCCCUGCACUUCGGGAUAAGCCUGGGAAACUGGGGCUAAUACCGGAUAGGACCGCACUUUGGUGUGUGUGGUGGAAAGGUUUUUCUGGUGUGGGAUGAGCUCGCGGCCUAUCAGUUUGUUGGUGGGGUAAUGGCCUACCAAGACGGCGACGGGUAGCCGGCCUGAGAGGGUGGACGGUCACAUUGGGACUGAGAUACGGCCCAGACUCCUACGGGAGGCAGCAGUGGGGAAUAUUGCACAAUGGGGGAAACCCUGAUGCAGCGACGCCGCGUGGGGGAUGAAGGCCUUCGGGUUGUAAACUCCUUUCGCUAGGGACGAAGCUUUUUGUGACGGUACCUGGAGAAGAAGCACCGGCUAACUACG